AAAUACUGAUCUGAGUGCGACUGGAUUGGCCGUUUUCAGAGCACCAGUAAAAACAAUGAAACGACAAAAAAGUGAGAGUGGGAAAAUUGAGAGGUGAGUGAAUGUGAAGGUAAAGGUGAGUGAAAUUUCAAAUCUGAAACAGAGAACUUGAGUGGUAUCGUUGGAGUUGCGGUUGGUGAUUCGUUGAAGCAGCGUUUGAAGCCGACGGUUUGGAGAGUGACCGCAAGAGGAGCGAACUGCGACUAAGUUGAGUUUUUGGGUACACUUCUUUGCGUAACACUCGUCCGACUACGAAUCGGACGACAGCGAUGAGCACCACGAGUCGUGUGGGUUUCGGACGGCAUGGGAUAUGAAUCCAGUCGUGACCACAAUCGAAUCAUGUGGAGGUGAUGAAGGCGCACCGCAUAAUCAAGAGGGAGCAGAAGUCCCUCUUCGAAUCAUGUGAUCGCUAUGAUGCUUGCAUUUGCUGUUUAAAUUGUAUUUGAUUUUAAGUUGAAGCUGCGCAAACGCAAUCGGGAGAUGUACUUGGAUCUCCCAACUAGAUCACUGCCGGAUCCACUUCUGUCAGAAGAGAAUGAUCUCAAGUGGCAACCCAACAAGCAAUCUGAGAGCAUCCUGAAAUGUUUGAAAUUCAUAUAUGUAAGACUACUCAGAACUUCAAGAGCAAUGGAAUUGGAGAAAUCAGGGCCAAUUUCAAGGUUUGUGCACUCUUUUUUAAGUUCAAGAAGCUUCAGGGUGGAUACCCUGACAAACCCAAAACCAAGCCUCUUGUUGCAAAAGGAAUCUAGGCAGCAAGACCCUUAUGGUAUCUUUAACACAAAAGAGUCCAUUCCAAGGAACAUUCGUGCUUACAAGAACCUGGUUAUAUUCACUUCCAGCUCUAUGGAUCCCAAGUUUAUCUCAAGUCCAUACCAUUACUAAGGAAGUUAAGGUAUGGCAUGGAUGAUAUCUCAUUUAUGAGAAGAAUCAAAAUGUUGAAAACAUUGUAAGUUCUACUUGACAAUGAUGAGAUACAUAGUAAAGUGAACAAAAUUCAAAGUAACAGUUAGUUUCUUGCGGUUUACAGGAUCUUGAUGAGAUAUCUUCAAACUGUUUACUUGAAAAUCCUUACAAACAGAAAUUAGCAUUCUGGAUCAACGUGUACAAUGCUUGUAUCAUGCAUGUAUAGUAGAAAUUUCUUGUUUUUUUUUUCUUUCUUUUUUAAAUUUCUCUAUAUCGUUGUAUUGACAUCAGAUUAAGUAUUUAGGAAUUUGAUUCAUGAUCAAUCUGAUGGAUGGGAAUUAUAGGACAUAGAUCAGGACUAUGCUUAAUGUAUUGUCUUGUUUCAGGGAUUUAUCCAAUAUGGAGUACCACCCACCCGAGAAAAACUACUUGCAUUGAUGAACAAGGUACAUUAAAAAUCUCGAUAUAGAUGUCAAUUGUCCUGUUUCUUGCCUGUUGGACUCUGUCAUGGUUUCUUGACAGAAGACGACAAUUUGUUUAUGUUUAUUUUCUGUUUUGAAAAGCUUAUAAAUCCAUAUACAAAUUUUGAACAUGUCUGAAAGAAACAUUUAUUUUCUUAUUGCUAGAAACACUUUCUUCUACCUAUAAUAAGUACAACAAUUUAAUGGGA
Molecule: long non-coding RNA, 1612 nt
Organism: Vigna radiata var. radiata (mung bean)
Lineage: Eukaryota; Viridiplantae; Streptophyta; Magnoliopsida; Fabales; Fabaceae
Exons: 3
Source: RefSeq, a predicted model, not a curated record